AUUGAACGCUGGCGGCAGGCCUAACACAUGCAAGUCGAACGAGUGGCGGACGGGUGAGUAAUGUCUGGGAAACUGCCUGAUGGAGGGGGAUAACUACUGGGAACGGUAGCUAAUAACGCAUACCAUAGGAUGAGCCCAGAUGGGAUUAGCUAGUAGGUGGGGUAAAGGCUCACCUAGGCGACGAUCCCUAGCGGGUCUGAGAGGAUGAACGGCCACACUGCAACUGAGACACAGCCCAUAGUCCUGCGUGAGGCAGCACUGGGGAGUCUGGCACAAUGGGCGCGAGCCGGAUGCAGCCAUGCCGCGUGUAUGAAGAAGGUCUUCGGGUUGUAAAGGCCUUUCGGCGGUGAGGCGUUACCCGCAGAAGAAGCCCCGGCUAACUCCGUGCCAGCAGCCGCGGUAAUAC
RNAcentral lists this ribosomal RNA (406 nucleotides) under uncultured bacterium. RNAcentral's name for it is "partial 16S ribosomal RNA". It matches the Rfam family "Bacterial small subunit ribosomal RNA", at positions 30 to 526 of the family's 1533-position model. The record is from RNAcentral.